This is a long non-coding RNA of Pyrus x bretschneideri (Chinese white pear), 1986 nucleotides long. RefSeq lists it as uncharacterized. NCBI's taxonomy places the organism in Eukaryota, Viridiplantae, Streptophyta, Magnoliopsida, Rosales, Rosaceae. The transcript is spliced from 2 exons. The record is from RefSeq and is a predicted model, not a curated record.
GUUGCUUUUCCACUUAUAACCAAGUGUUCUUCUUUUCCUUUCCUUUUUUCAGAAAGUUCUUGCACAUGCAUCUUACUUAACUGAAAUUUGUACUUCCGGAAACCAUAAAGAUAGAUAGUAUUUUGGCGCAGGACUAGAAAACUCUAUGCACCAAUCCAGAUAUGAAUAUCACCUUGCUAGUUGAUGUUGUAGAAACUCACUCUCAAGUACCUGACUUUAUGGCUCUGCGCCAAGUUUUUAAUUUUAGGCUUAUUCAUUUCUUCGCCCUGCAUCCUGAGGUAUGCCUACUCUUUCUCAGAAUAUUUUCCCCACUUUUCCUUCUUCAAUAUGAAAGACUGCUGCAAGCUCCUUGAUUGGUUCUAAUAAGUAUGUUUUAGCAAAUGAAACUUGACUAUAUAAAACAGAAGAUGUGGAUCUCAACCGUGUAGGACAUGAAUAAUGCCUAAAAAUGUUAAUUUAGCUUGAUUUGAGUGACAUAUGAUAGUCUUGUGGUAUAUGAAAUGUUAGUGAUCAGAUUGAGCUGGCUUCAACUUAGUGAUUCUGCUUUGUAGGAUCGGGAUUAGUUAUUUAGUGACACGUAGAAGAUGAAACAGUUGCAUGCCAGAAAGUUUGAUUGAGUAAUUUUCAGAUGACAGCCCAUUUUGUAUAAAUGUACAAAGAAAAGAUUAAGUUUAUUUCAACAAAUUGAUUAUGUUUCCUCCACUUGGGCAUACCUCUUUGCAUCCUGUAUUAGUGUAUUUGAUUAAUCGGAUAGGUAAUAUUCUAUGUAAUAUUUGGGUGUUAAAAGAUAAAAGAAAUGAACUCAUGCAUUUUUAUUUUUGAGAUAAAGGCUUGUGAUGUUCUAGAUGCCAUUUUGGUAGAGCCUUUUAGCCAAAGACAGCGUGUUAUUGUUGCUCAAACAGAAAAGGCCCAGCUCUUAGCAUCUCCAUCCCCCACGCCAUCUGAUGGUGUUAGGAACAACAAAAAUGGGCAGAAUAAAGUAUUUACUAUUCAAUCUUCCAAUUUUAAGAGUAAAUCGGAGCUAGAUAUCUAAAAAUGGGAAGUAGAAGGAAUCAUGUUUUGAAUUUCGUAUUAUCAACCACUCAGUACACCUGAACCACCCACAAUGCUCUAUUGCUUCAAGUGUAUCUGAAAGCCCUCAUGUAAAGCUCACCUCAUCUGCUGACAGUUUCAGGUACAAACACCUGCACUAUUGACACCAAGGAGAUCAAUGCCCAAUUGUGACGCCGAGCAUGAGACCAUAAACAGCCAAUCAACAUCAUGUUAUAAGCCUGCAAAAAGAAUUCUAGACUUCUCGCACUUGGAAGGUGAUAAGAUUGCAUUGGAUUGUAUAACAGAUUAGUCAGACUACUACAAAGUUGUAAACCAAAACAUCCCUAAGACUACAGAAACACCUUUUGAGGAUGAAAAUGUUACUUUUUCUCUGGAACCACAAAAGGAGAAGUCAAAGAACAUAUUGAUCUUCUUAAAAGGUAUGUUCCAAAUUUGUUCCAUAUGGAGUUGCUAGUGGAGAUACUGUGUACAAGUAAGCUUCAUUUUUAUUCCGUUAAUUUGUCAGUAACAUCCUUACACAUGAAGAGAUGUCUGGUAUGUGAUUAGAAGACUUGAUAAGAUCAAUGUUGUUAGGCCUUUUCCAGUGACAUCAGUUUCUCAUAAGAAUAUCAAAAUUUCUGUAAAAAAAUACCGUGAGAAAUAUCCUUGUGGUGUCCCCCAAAGGAAGGUUCUUACGUGUUGCCCACUAUUCCCUCUGCGGUGGGGAAUCAUCUUUCUGGCCCAUGGUGUGCACAAACCCUUUUAACACAAGGGAUGAGGACAUGAUAGGUUUUUCUUUUUAAUGUUAAUGUUGGGCAGGAGCACCCACGCAAUGUUAAGAGAAUCUCAAUUUGGUUAGGAACGUUGACUUCGUUUUUACUAGUGUAUUAUUCGAUUGAAGGUUAUGUAGGGGAAAUCACAGGUUUAACCCUUAAUAAUAAAGCAUUUCUAGUA